This 219-nucleotide small RNA is filed under the name Arabidopsis thaliana (thale cress). RNAcentral's name for it is "ATSL040050". Lineage: Eukaryota; Viridiplantae; Streptophyta; Magnoliopsida; Brassicales; Brassicaceae. The record is from RNAcentral.
UUGAUUAGAAAGAAAAUAGCAUUAAGAACUCCUAAAACAGAAGGGAACCAUGCAUUUAUAAACUUAGCUAGCUAAAGAACAGAGGAAUCCACCUAAACCUAACCCAUCCUCAAGAACUUUGAAGAAGACUACUCAAGAACAAUGAAGAACAUCAUAGAACAAAACUCAGAAAAAUCAUAAAACCCAGAAAUCAUUAUAAACUUAGCAAAUGAUAGAUCU